Molecule: ribosomal RNA, 1152 nt
Filed under: uncultured bacterium
Lineage: Bacteria
Description: bacterial SSU rRNA
Rfam family: Bacterial small subunit ribosomal RNA
Source: RNAcentral
GGGUUCGGGAUAGCCACCAGAGAUGGUGGGUAAUACCGGAUGACCUCGUGAGAGCAAAGAUUUAUCGCCCUGGGAGGGGCCCAUGUGAUAUUAGCUAGUUGGUGGGGUAACGGCCCACCAAGGCAAAGAUGUCUAGCGGGUGUGAGAGCACGACCCGCGCCACUCGCACUGAGACACUGGCGAGACACCUACGGGUGGCUGCAGUCGAGGAUCUUCGGCAAUGGGCGAAAGCCUGACCGAGCGAUGCCGCGUGCGCGAUGAAGGCCUUCGGGUUGUAAAGCGCGAAAGAGGGGAGAAAAGCCCGAAAGGGUUUGAUCUAUCCUCAGUAAGCUCGGGCUAAGUUCGUGCCAGCAGCCGCGGUAAGACGAACCGAGCGAACGUUGUUCGGAAUCACUGGGCUUAAAGGGCGCGUAGGCGGGCUGUCAAGUCUGGGGUGAAAUCCCGCGGCUCAACCGUGGAACUGCCUCAGAUACUGACGGUCUCGAGGGGGAUAGGGGCGAGCGGAACUGUGAGUGGAGCGGUGAAAUGCGUUGAUAUUCACAGGAACUCCGGUGGCGAAGCGGCUCGCUGGAUCUCUUCUGACGCUGAGGCGCGAAAGCCAGGGGAGCAAACGGGAUUAGAUACCCCGGUAGUCCUGGCCCUAAACGUUGGGUACUAGGUAGUAGACUAGACAUGGGUUUACUGCCGAAGCAAAAGUGCUAAGUACCCCGCCUGGGGAGUAUGGUCGCAAGGCUGAAACUCAAAGGAAUUGACGGGGGGCUCACACAAGCGGUGGAGCAUGUGGCUUAAUUCGAGGCUACGCGAAGAACCUUAUCCUGGACUUGACAUGUGCGAAAGCGCCAGCAGGUAGGACCCGGAAACGGGAACGAACGGUAUCCAACCCGGAAGCUGGUACAGGUGCUGCAUGGCUGUCGUCAGCUCGUGUCGUGAGAUGUCGGGUUAAGUCCCAUAACGAGCGAAACCCUUACCCUUAGUUGCUACCAUUUAGUUGGGCACUCUAGGGGGACUGCCGGUGUCAAACCGGAGGAAGGUGGGGAUGACGUCAAGUCCUCAUGGCCUUUAUGUCCAGGGCUGCACACGUGCUACAAUGCCGUACACAAAGCGACGCGACCUUGCGAAAGGAAGCUAAUCGCAAAAAUUACGGCCCAGUUC